UCAGAGAUUUGCUAUGUGAAAGGGGUCACUAGUACAAAAGUUUGAGAAUCGCUGAUCUAAGGUAAUACAAAUAAACUUUGUAACUAGAACAUACUGGAUUUUUGACUCUUCGCUUAGUUUAAACACAAUUACCUUUUUAAAACACUACUUGUAGCUGGACUGUUUCCUUUAGAGAGUGCUCAUCCUUUAAGCUAAAGUAGUGUUAGUGAAACAUUCCUCAAAUAUAGUCUAGGGAGUUGGGAAGGGGACACUUCACUUGUUCUCAGUUACAGAAUCUGAAUUCUCUGUUCAUGUGAUGUAAUCUAACUUUAAAGGAGAGAAUCUCGUGUUGACCCAGCUUCUGUUGGAGAAAGACAGGCGGUUGUAAAGAGCUUUUAAGCUUGAAAAUUUGUCUCCUUACAGAAGCUGGUCCAAAUAGGGAUGUCACCUCACCAGCCUCUUUAACACCCACAACUGCAACACUGCAUAUAACUUUAAAUGACUGAUUCUUCCUGCAAUGACCCUUUAGUUAGAGCAAGUAAGAUUUAAAAUGUGCUGAUUGUACAGCAGUCUCUUCAUACCUAGCUGCUGCCCUUCAUUUUUUACAGACUUGUUUACAAUUCACUGAUUUCUUUAAAUACUUAAAAGAGGAAAUCUUCCUAUGUGUUGUAGAUGUGUAUCUCAAUCUUUGAUGUGGGUAGCUCAUUGAAUGAUUAGUACAUUGCUCAAUCAUCCAAAACACCAGGUGAUUAACAAGGUUUGGUAGAUAGGUGUAAAAGUUUGAGCUCCAAUGGAACUUUCAAGCAAGUAAUUCUACAGCAAACAAAAUUGAAAGGGUUUUUGUAUCACCGCCCUCUUUGGCCUUAAACUGCAGGGUCUCUGGGAAAAAAUAGAUGCUGAGGAUCUCCUGUAUACAGUAGGAUUUGCAGAGGUAGCAGGGGCAGGGUAGCAUUUCAGUCAGAGUUGUGUAUAUUGCAGACAAAUACUAAUUUCAAACAACUGGUUAACAAAUUUUGAAAGCUGUAAAGGAAAUGCCCGCAAGAUGUGAGGCCUGUGAAGUAGCAUGCUUGGGUGUAAUGAAAAUGGCAUAGGAAGAAGCCACAUCUCUUCACCUGUUAAGGAGACUGUUUUCUAGUGAGAUGUGCACAGCACUUGGAAUCCAGGGGGCUGAGCUGUGACAUUUAGCCACUCUUUGUAGGGCCACCUGUCCUAGCUCUGACUGAGAUGGAUACAACUGCCUAGGUAGAAAAUGGGUAACAUUCACUUCCAGUCAGUGGACAACUUAGAGGAGACUCCGUCCAACUUACCCAUGUUCUUUAUCGUUGGAGGUGGAUCUGUAGGAGUGAUUUGAAUGACAACCACUUAGACCAGGAUUUGAAGGAAAUCCAUAUUCGAAAGAAACUACUGAGGCCAUCUGGGAGUUGUGCUGGCAAUGAAUAGAACAAUGGAUCCACUCAACUCAGCUUAGACCACUGAACACUGCACCACUGACAUUCUCGGACUACUACUGUGAUUGUCAGGUAGAAUGCAGCGAUCUUCUCCAAGCAACCUACACGUGAGUCCUUUGCUUUGAAGUGAGAUGUUCUCAGACUUUCAGCACUGACCACCACCGUCUGCAUUUGGGAGACCACCUGGUAACAGGAGACAGAGCCUCUCACCUUUUGAGCCGCCGGUGCAACUCCAGCGCAGGCUGGCAGUUAUUGCUGUUGGGUAUCUGUGGACUUGCUGAAGCUGGCGCUUGCCAUCCAGUUCCUAAUGAACAGGCAUCCACGUCACUAUAGCUACCAAGAUCUUCAUGGAGAUGUUUUAGCACAAGAGUGAUCAUGCAAAAUGUACAAAGUAGCAGUAUGGAACACUUUAGAAGCAGAGACAAUUGUUCCGGUAUGAUGCAGUGCUUAAAGUGGGAAAAGGAAACGAUGGGCCCAGUUCCGUGAAGUCCUAGACACCUUCAACUCCAGUUGACUUUGUCGGGAGUUCAGAGAUUUGCAAGACCUGGCCUGACUCGGACAGUUAACAGGAAGGACUGAGAGGAAGUGAGAGCACUGCUGGUGUUUGAGGCUGCACAGUGUGAAACAGAAUGGUGAUUUUGACAAAAUCCAGGGCUUUGCCUAUCUCAGUCUUCAGCUGGAAAACAAAAUGCCAGCAACCCUCCAGCCCCAACUCCUCCUACUGCAGGGAGAGGGUCUAACUAAUCAAAAUAGGUCAUGAAGCCUCGUGAGAUAUUUAAUCUGGAUAUGGAUCGCCAGGUAGAAGAACCUGCUGCCAUUUCAAACAGAGUCCCUCAAGUCAGAUUGUCACGUGAAGCUCCUUAGCUCCCUCCACCCGUACACCCUCCACCCAAACCCAGAGACACACGAGCAACGCAGCCUGGGUAUUUCCACUCUGAGUGUACUGAGGAAGCAGCUAUAAAAAUAAGACACAGAAGUCAGCCUUGCAGGAGCAGCUUCAGCCUAAACAGGGUUUUCAUAGGCGAGUUUCUCACAAGUGCUUUUCCCUGUGGAAUGGAACAGAAACCAAUAGGGAUUUUUUUGAGUUCUACAGGCACUAAGGGCCAGAUUUUUAAAGUAAUUCAGGCACCUAACUCCCUUAGGCAUUGCCUACUAGAUGGGUCAAACUGUAUCUAGUAUGUUGCAAAGAAGCAGGAGUUAGAGGUAGAUUUGUCAAGGUAUUUAGGCAGAUUUUCAUUUACCUCCCUUUAUAUUUACUAUAAAAGAGUAAAAAAAGUAUCAGUGACAGGCCUCUAUAAUUUGUGCAAGUGUUUCAAGAAUGCUUGACAUUGAAGGGUAAGGGGUGUGCAAGGAGCGGG
Chelonia mydas (Green sea turtle) is the source of this 2785-nucleotide long non-coding RNA. RefSeq lists it as uncharacterized. The transcript is spliced from 9 exons. Lineage: Eukaryota; Metazoa; Chordata; Testudines; Cheloniidae. The record is from RefSeq and is a predicted model, not a curated record.